This 292-nucleotide ribosomal RNA is filed under the name uncultured prokaryote. RNAcentral describes it as "partial 16S ribosomal RNA". It matches the Rfam family "Bacterial small subunit ribosomal RNA", at positions 505 to 796 of the family's 1533-position model. The record is from RNAcentral.
GUGCCAGCCGCCGCGGUAAUACGUAGGUGGCAAGCGUUGUCCGGAUUUAUUGGGCGUAAAGCGAGCGCAGGCGGUUUCUUAAGUCUGAUGUGAAAGCCUUCGGCUCAACCGAAGAAGUGCAUCGGAAACUGGGAAACUUGAGUGCAGAAGAGGACAGUGGAGCUCCAUGUGUAGCGGUGAAAUGCGUAGAUAUAUGGAAGAACACCAGUGGCGAAGGCGGCUGUCUGGUCUGUAACUGACGCUGAGGCUCGAAAGCAUGGGUAGCAAACAGGAUUAGAUACCCCCGUAGUCC